This 999-nucleotide long non-coding RNA is filed under the name Zonotrichia albicollis (white-throated sparrow). Its description in RNAcentral is "lncRNA (ENSZALG00000000285.1)". The record is from RNAcentral. Lineage: Eukaryota; Metazoa; Chordata; Aves; Passeriformes; Passerellidae.
AUUUUGGGUGCCCCUAGGUGUGCCCAGGUGCAUCCCAGGUGUAUCCCAGGUGUGCCCAGGUGUAUCCCAGGUGUAUCCCAGCUGUGCCCAGGUGUAUCCCAGGUGCCCCCAGGUGUGCCCAGGUGUGCCCAGGUGUAUCCCAGGUGUAUCCCAGGUGUAUCCCAGGUGUAUCCCAGGUGUAUCCCAGCUGUGCCCAGGUGUAUUUUGGGUGCCCCCAGGUGUAUCCCAGGUGUGCCCAGGUGUGCCAGCCCCCCCCGUCUCUCACCUGCAGCUCGGUGCCCCCCCAGGUGUUCUGGAACGUUCUCUGGUCGAAGCUCACCCGGGCCGAGCUCUGCAGGUGAACCUUGGGCCAGGGCACCUGCGCAGGUGGGCACAGGUGAGGGCACAGCUGGGCACAGGUGUGGUUUGGGUGUGCCCAGGUGUGCCCAGCUGUGCUCAGGUGUAUGUCAGGUACCCCCAGGUGCGUUUUGGGUGUGCCCAGGUGUAUCCCAGGUGUGUUUGGGUAUAUUUUGGGUACAUUUUGGGUAUCCAGGUGUAUCUCAGGUGUGCCCAGGUGUAUCUCAGGUAUAUUUUGGGUACCCAGGUGUACCCAGGUGUACCCAGGUGUGCCCAGGUGUGCCCCCUCACCUGUCUCACCCACUCCAGGUUCAGUUUCCCGCCCAGGUGGAACCCCCAGGUGUAUCUCAGGUGUAUCCCAGGUGUAUCUCAGGUGUGCCAUGUCUUACCUGCCGCACCCACUCCAGGUUCAGUUUCCCGCCCAGGUGGAAGCCCCAGGUGUGCCCAGGUGUAUCUCAGGUGUAUUUUGGGUACCCAGGUGUAUCUCAGGUGUACCCAAGUGUGCCCAGGUGUGCCAUGUCUCACCUGCCGUACCCACUCCAGGUUGAGUUUGCCCCCCAGGUGGAACCCCCAGGUGUAUCUCAGGUGUACUUUGGGUGUAUGUUGGGUACCCAGGUGUAUCUCAGGUGUAUCUCAGGUGUGCCCCCUUACCUGCCGUACCCA